CGUCCUACGGGACGCAGCAGUGAGGAAUAUUGGUCAAUGGGCGGGAGCCUGAACCAGCCAAGUCGCGUGAGGGAAGACGGUCCUAUGGAUUGUAAACCUCUUUAGGCGGGGAGCAAUGCCGGGCACGCGUGCCCGGAGGGAGAGUACCCGCAGAAUAAGCAUCGGCUAACUCCGUGCCAGCAGCCGCGGUAAUACGGAGGAUGCGAGCGGUAUCCGGAUUUAUUGGGGUUAAAGGGUGCGGAGGCGGAUUUUUAAGUCAGCGGCAAAAUGU
RNAcentral lists this ribosomal RNA (271 nucleotides) under uncultured bacterium. RNAcentral's name for it is "partial 16S ribosomal RNA". It matches the Rfam family "Bacterial small subunit ribosomal RNA", at positions 335 to 602 of the family's 1533-position model. The record is from RNAcentral.